This 500-nucleotide unclassified non-coding RNA is filed under the name uncultured Glomus. RNAcentral describes it as "SSU rRNA". It matches the Rfam family "Eukaryotic small subunit ribosomal RNA", at positions 591 to 1092 of the family's 1831-position model. Lineage: Eukaryota; Fungi; Glomeromycota; Glomeromycetes; Glomerales; Glomeraceae. The record is from RNAcentral.
CCAAUAGCGUAUAUUAAAGUUGUUGCAGUUAAAAAGCUCGUAGUUGAAUUUCGGGACCAAUCUGCCGGUCGUGCCUCCGGUACGCACUGGUUUUAUUGGUUUCUCCCUUCUGACGAACCAUGAUGUCAUUAAUUUGGUGUCAUGGGGAAUCAGGACUGUUACUUUGAAAAAAUUAGAGUGUUUAUAGCAGGCUCACGCUUGAAUACAUUAGCAUGGAAUAAUGAAAUAGGACGUUUGACCCUAUUUUGGUGGUUUCUAGGAUCGACGUAAUGAUUAAUAGGGAUAGUUGGGGGCAUUAGUAUUCAAUUGUCAGAGGUGAAAUUCUUGGAUUUAUUGAAGACUAACUACUGCGAAAGCAUUUGCCAAGGAUGUUUUCAUUAAUCAAGAACGAAAGUUAGGGGAUCGAAGACGAUCAGAUACCGUCGUAGUCUUAACCAUAAACUAUGCCGACUAGGGAUCGGAUGAUGUUAAUUUUUUAAUGACUCAUUCGGCGCCUUACG